GACGAACGCUGGCGGCGUGCCUAAUACAUGCAAGUCGAGCGAAUCGAUGGGAGCUUGCUCCCUGAGAUUAGCGGCGGACGGGUGAGUAACACGUGGGUAACCUACCUAUAAGACUGGGAUAACUCCGGGAAACCGGGGCUAAUACCGGAUAAUAUUUUGAACCGCAUGGUUCAAUAGUGAAAGACGGUUUCGGCUGUCACUUAUAGAUGGACCCGCGCCGUAUUAGCUAGUUGGUAAGGUAACGGCUUACCAAGGCGACGAUACGUAGCCGACCUGAGAGGGUGAUCGGCCACACUGGAACUGAGACACGGUCCAGACUCCUACGGGAGGCAGCAGUAGGGAAUCUUCCGCAAUGGACGAAAGCCUGACGGAGCAACGCCGCGUGAGUGAUGAAGGUCUUCGGAUCGUAAAACUCUGUUGUUAGGGAAGAACAAAUUUGUUAGUAACUGAACAAGUCUUGACGGUACCUCACCAGAAAGCCACGGCUAACUACGUGCCAGCAGCCGCCGUAA
This 512-nucleotide ribosomal RNA is filed under the name uncultured bacterium. RNAcentral describes it as "partial 16S ribosomal RNA". It matches the Rfam family "Bacterial small subunit ribosomal RNA", at positions 28 to 523 of the family's 1533-position model. The record is from RNAcentral.